GUACCAUAUUUCUCAGGCCAAUCUCUGUCUUCCAGUCAGGUCCAGAGAAAACAACAUCACCUCCUCUUGAUUUGAGAGUUUCCAAGGUUUCUCAAACGAACAAGCUGGAAAUGAACUGUAUGGGAGAUUCCAAAGGCACUUGAAUCAAUGGUUGAGGAAGCAGAAGGAACAGAAGCUGCUUAAGAGAGAUCUGCUGCCCAGCAAGACUGAUGGGUACUCCUCAUGUUGUAGAUUCAGAGGAAGCUCUCCUUGUUGAGGCUGAAGAAGGUGGUGCUUUGGAAAGUGACCAUACAGCUUAGGAAUGUGUGUGGCACUGAGAGGCUCAUCAAGGCAUGAAGUUGCCUCGGGCAACCUCAUAAUUUGGCACUCCUUCAAGUCAGUGUUUCUAAAACAGGGUGAAACGUGUAUUUAGUGAUUCUAAACCAUGCAGAAUGAAAGAGCUCUAUGGUACCACUUUUAAUUCCUCCUUCUCAGACCCACUGUUAUGCAUGUAUUCAAACAAAGGCACAUGCCUUGAGAUGAACUGGACAAUGUCCUUCAUGAAAUUUUUACCCCUAUUUUUCGGUUAAAUAUUCUGUGAAAUGGC
Molecule: long non-coding RNA, 586 nt
Organism: Mesocricetus auratus (golden hamster)
Lineage: Eukaryota; Metazoa; Chordata; Mammalia; Rodentia; Cricetidae
Exons: 2
Source: RefSeq, a predicted model, not a curated record